Molecule: ribosomal RNA, 932 nt
Filed under: Salmonella enterica subsp. enterica serovar Anatum
Lineage: Bacteria; Pseudomonadati; Pseudomonadota; Gammaproteobacteria; Enterobacterales; Enterobacteriaceae
Description: partial 23S ribosomal RNA
Rfam family: Bacterial large subunit ribosomal RNA
Source: RNAcentral
CAGGUUUACCUGUGUGACUGCGUACCUUUUGUAUAAUGGGUCAGCGACUUAUAUUCUGUAGCAAGGUUAACCGAAUAGGGGAGCCGGAGGGAAACCGAGUCUUAAUUGGGCGUUAAGUUGCAGGGUAUAGACCCGAAACCCGGUGAUCUAGCCAUGGGCAGGUUGAAGGUUGGGUAACACUAACUGGAGGACCGAACCGACUAAUGUUGAAAAAUUAGCGGAUGACCUGUGGCUGGGGGUGAAAGGCCAAUCAAACCGGGAGAUAGCUGGUUCUCCCCGAAAGCUAUUUAGGUAGCGCCUCGUGAAUUCAUCUCCGGGGGUAGAGCACUGUUUCGGCUAGGGGGCCAUCCCGGCUUACCAACCCGAUGCAAACUGCGAAUACCGGAGAAUGUUAUCACGGGAGACACACGGCGGGUGCUAACGUCCGUCGUGAAGAGGGAAACAACCCAGACCGCCAGCUAAGGUCCCAAAGUCAUGGUUAAGUGGGAAACGAUGUGGGAAGGCCCAGACAGCCAGGAUGUUGGCUUAGAAGCAGCCAUCAUUUAAAGAAAGCGUAAUAGCUCACUGGUCGAGUCGGCCUGCGCGGAAGAUGUAACGGGGCUAAACCAUGCACCGAAGCUGCGGCAGCGAACGUAUCACUUAAAGCGAUUCAGCGGGUUACGAUUGACGGAGCGAAGCGACGUCAAAGCGUAUACAAAGUCGAGUCGGUUUAAGGAUACGUUCGUUGGGUAGGGGAGCGUUCUGUAAGCCUGUGAAGGUGGCCUGUGAGGGUUGCUGGAGGUAUCAGAAGUGCGAAUGCUGACAUAAGUAACGAUAAAGCGGGUGAAAAGCCCGCUCGCCGGAAGACCAAGGGUUCCUGUCCAACGUUAAUCGGGGCAGGGUGAGUCGACCCCUAAGGCGAGGCCGAAAGGCGUAGUCGAUGGGAAACGGGU